CUCUUAUUUUCGGCAGCAGUAGAGAAUCUUGUGCAAUAAACGAAAAGUAUGACACAGAGAGGACACAUUUAAUUGAGCCCGUCAAAUUAAGUGCCAGCCGACGCGGUUAGACUUAAGGGCUGGUCUUUAUAAGAAAAGGCGUAAAGGAUGUGUGGGCCAAGAAAAUUACCCAGAAGGAGGUAAAUGGAAUUUUUCUGGAGCGGUAGAAUGUGAGGAUAGAAAAUAGAACUCCUAAGGUUAAAACUAUUUACCACAAGGCAGGCUGAAACAUGAGAGUGUGGGGAGCAAACAGGAUUAGAGACCCUGGUAGUCCACACUGUGAACUUUGAAGAUAAUGCUUAGCAGACCUGAAAGAUAAAAAUCUUCCGCCUGAGUAGUACGAUCGCAAGAUUAAAAUUCAAAAACUUUGGCUGUUCACUAUUUCGAUUAGAGGAGCGUGUAGUUUAAUUCGAUGGUCCGCGUGUAACCUUACCCCAACUUGAAUCCGUGACCGGUAUUGCAUGGCCGUCGUAAGUCCGUGUGUUAAGCUAGAAGGGACCCAACCCGGGCGCACGCCCGGAGGAAGUCAGGUCUUAUGAUCCGAAUGUUGGGGGGUUUUAUGCGCUACAUUUUCUUAUAUAAUGGGAAACCUGAAAAGUGUACCUCUAAAGUAAGAGUUUCGGAAGGUCGCUGUAAGACGACUGGAAGUUGGAUUUAAUAGUAAUCGGAAAGUAGGGCGUUCCGGUGAAUUGGUGCAAGUGUUAGCACAAAUUGCCCGUCACCUUUACCUAGAAUGGUCAUUCGGUACGCCUCCGGUGGUCACGAAUGCCUACGAGGUAAAGCAA
Molecule: ribosomal RNA, 824 nt
Filed under: Chitinactis marmara
Lineage: Eukaryota; Metazoa; Cnidaria; Anthozoa; Actiniaria; Actinostolidae
Description: Chitonactis marmara partial small subunit ribosomal RNA
Rfam family: Bacterial small subunit ribosomal RNA
Source: RNAcentral